Molecule: long non-coding RNA, 449 nt
Filed under: Salmo salar (Atlantic salmon)
Lineage: Eukaryota; Metazoa; Chordata; Actinopteri; Salmoniformes; Salmonidae
Description: lncRNA (ENSSSAG00000099169.1, ENSSSAG00020058780.1, ENSSSAG00075044010.1)
Source: RNAcentral
CAACCAAUGGCGAAAUCCCCUCACAAUGAUCUCAAACUGUGUUUCUAAUACACACUGGAAUUGAACUCAGACUACCCAUUGCUAACCAGGAAAGUCUUGGAGGUCAGAGGUGACAUUGUGGUGAGUGUGUUUGAGGAGGACAUCAGGGACAGUGAGCUGCUGAGGACAGUGUGUAAAGGGAGCAUCGCUGGUCUACCACAAUGUGUCCCUCAUAGAUGUCAUCGAGAAGGUGGACUACAGCGAGAUCCACGGAGUCAACGUCAAAGGAACCCAGCUCCUUCUGUAGACGUACGUCUGGGAAAAUGUGGUGUCCAAAGAAAGAAAGUGAAUAAAGGCUAAAUAAUUGCCCAAGGCCCUGCCUGUAAGACUGUUCCUAUAGCUGACCAUCCCCUGGUCCAUGCUUAUAAUCAUUAUUACAGUGGUCUGUAAAUGUGUAAAUUAAAGUUGUG